This 253-nucleotide ribosomal RNA is filed under the name uncultured Magnetospirillum sp. RNAcentral's name for it is "partial 16S ribosomal RNA". It matches the Rfam family "Bacterial small subunit ribosomal RNA", at positions 524 to 776 of the family's 1533-position model. Lineage: Bacteria; Pseudomonadati; Pseudomonadota; Alphaproteobacteria; Rhodospirillales; Rhodospirillaceae. The record is from RNAcentral.
UACGAAGGGGGCUAGCGUUGUUCGGAAUUACUGGGCGUAAAGCGCACGCAGGCGGCUUGACCAGUCAGAAGUGAAAGCCCGGGGCUUAACCCCGGAAUAGCUUUUGAUACUGUCAGGCUUGAAUCACGGAGAGGGUAGUGGAAUUCCGAGUGUAGAGGUGAAAUUCGUAGAUAUUAGGAAGAACACCAGUGGCGAAGGCGACUACCUGGCCGUUGAUUGACGCUCAUGUGCGAAAGCGUGGGGAGCAAACAGG